This 402-nucleotide ribosomal RNA is filed under the name uncultured Asticcacaulis sp. Its description in RNAcentral is "partial 16S ribosomal RNA". It matches the Rfam family "Bacterial small subunit ribosomal RNA", at positions 355 to 774 of the family's 1533-position model. Lineage: Bacteria; Pseudomonadati; Pseudomonadota; Alphaproteobacteria; Caulobacterales; Caulobacteraceae. The record is from RNAcentral.
UGGGGAAUCUUGCGCAAUGGGCGAAAGCCUGACGCAGCCAUGCCGCGUGAAUGAUGAAGGUCUUAGGAUUGUAAAAUUCUUUUAGCAGGGACGAUAAUGACGGUACCUGCAGAAAAAGCCCCGGCUAACUUCGUGCCAGCAGCCGCGGUAAUACGAAGGGGGCUAGCGUUGCUCGGAAUUACUGGGCGUAAAGGGAGCGUAGGCGGGUUAUCAAGUUGGAGGUGAAAGCCCAGGGCUCAACCUUGGAAUUGCCUUCAAAACUGAUAGCCUAGAGUAUGAUAGAGGUAAGUGGAACUCCGAGUGUAGAGGUGAAAUUCGUAGAUAUUCGGAAGAACACCAGUGGCGAAGGCGACUUACUGGAUCAUGACUGACGCUGAGGCUCGAAAGCGUGGGGAGCAAACA